UGGGGAAUAUUGCACAAUGGGCGCAAGCCUGAUGCAGCCAUGCCGCGUGUGUGAAGAAGGCCUUCGGGUUGUAAAGCACUUUCAGCGGGGAGGAAGGCGUUAAGGUUAAUAACCUUGGCGAUUGACGUUACCCGCAGAAGAAGCACCGGCUAACUCCGUGCCAGCAGCCGCGGUAAUACGGAGGGUGCAAGCGUUAAUCGGAAUUACUGGGCGUAAAGCGCACGCAGGCGGUUUGUUAAGUCAGAUGUGAAAUCCCCGGGCUCAACCUGGGAACUGCAUCUGAUACUGGCAAGCUUGAGUCUCGUAGAGGGGGGUAGAAUUCCAGGUGUAGCGGUGAAAUGCGUUGAGAGCUGGAGGAAUACCGGUGGCGAAGGCGGCCCCCUGGACGAAGACUGACGCUCAGGUGCGAAAGCGUGGGGAGCAAACAGG
RNAcentral lists this ribosomal RNA (429 nucleotides) under Chloroflexota bacterium. RNAcentral's name for it is "Chloroflexi bacterium partial 16S ribosomal RNA". It matches the Rfam family "Bacterial small subunit ribosomal RNA", at positions 355 to 776 of the family's 1533-position model. Lineage: Bacteria; Bacillati; Chloroflexota. The record is from RNAcentral.